GCACAAAUUCUUCAUGCCCACAACCACAGCAACCAGCCAAAACUCUUCUCCCAAUCUCAUCAUUCCUCCUCCUACAUCAAUCCCUUCUUCUUCUUAUCCUCCUCCUACUGGUACCCACUCCAACUUCCCCUUCCAAUUCCCACAGCAAUUCCACCAUGCCCCCUCGUAUGCUCCUCCCCAUGACAACCAUACCCAUAACCACCAUCACCCUCCUUCUUCUCCUAUCUCUAAUAUGCCACCGCAGCGCUCUUUGUCGUAUCCUACGCCUCCUCUUCAACCCCAACCUCAACCUCAGCCUCAACAGCAACAGCAGCAAAACCCUUCUCCUCGCAACAAUAAUGAUCGUAGUGGGGCUGAAAUCAUGGCCCUCCUCCGCCCUCCUCCACUGCUUAAUCAAGACCCAACACCGCCACCG
RNAcentral lists this unclassified non-coding RNA (415 nucleotides) under Hevea brasiliensis (rubber tree). Lineage: Eukaryota; Viridiplantae; Streptophyta; Magnoliopsida; Malpighiales; Euphorbiaceae. The record is from RNAcentral.